UCCACUCUCUUAGUGACACCCAUUGCUCAUGUUGGCAGAAUCUUCAAGAACAAUGACAAACAUCAUUCUCAUCUGGGCCGUUUUAUUCUUUGUGGAAGAAUCUAUGGGGCAGAUUACUGUAACUCAGAGCCCCUCAGCAAGUGUUCAUCUGGGAGAAUCAGUCACUCUGACCUGUAAAACCAGCUCUCGCAUUAUCGCUAUGGCACUAUCCUGGUACCAGCAGAAAGAUGGAGAAGCUCCUAAUCUUUUAGUUUAUCAGGUGAAUGAUCUCCAGUCUGGGAUUCCACCACGAUUUGCUGGAAGUGGUUCACGGGCAGGAUCGGACUUCAGUCUGACCAUCAGUGGUGUCCAGGCUGAAGAUGCAGGAGAUUAUUACUGUAUGAGUUGGCACGAAGUCAGUAGUGCCUAUACUUUUGGUGGCGGCACCAGAUUGGAUGUUGGCACAAACACCCAACCCACGCUGACAGUCCUGCCUCCCUCCAGUGAGGAGCUGAGCAGUAAGAGCUCUGCCACACUGGUGUGCCUGGCUGCCAAGGGCUUCCCCUCAGACUGGAGCCUGAGCUGGAAGGUGGAUGGGACCAGUAAGAGUGGAGUGGCCAGUCGUGGGGUCAUGAAGGAUGGUCUGUACAGCUGGAGCAGCACCCUGACACUCAGUGAUGGCCAGUGGAAAGGAGCCACUUCAGUGGUCUGUGAGGCCACCCAGGGAUCUCAGAGAGCGGUCACUAAAGCCCUGAGCAAAGCCGACUGCUCUCAGUAGGAUCUAGUCUCUGCUCCGAUGAGUCGACUGCUCUCAGUAGGAUCUAGUCUCUGCUCCGAUGAGUCGACUGCUCUCAGUAGGAUCUAGUCUCUGCUCCGAUGAGUCGACUGCUCUCAGUAGGAUCUAGUCUCUGCUCCGAUGAGUCGACUGCUCUCAGUAGGAUCUAGUCUCUGCUCCGAUGAGUCGACUGCUCUCUUCUCUGAAUGUCUGACUUACAUCUUCAUCAGCCGGCUAAAAUGCGUACUGUAUUGCAGCUUUAGUGUGAAAUGAUAAAAAUGUGUUUAUGAAUGCUCUGAUGCUUCAAUGCUGUUACUGAGAUUAGAAUAAUAAAACUUCAUGUUUUACA
Non-coding RNA from Clupea harengus (Atlantic herring), 1103 nucleotides. The record is from the annotation of a RefSeq genome assembly. Lineage: Eukaryota; Metazoa; Chordata; Actinopteri; Clupeiformes; Clupeidae.